UAUUGUUGUGGUAAGUCAGAGAAAUGCAUUUUUUAAAAGUAAUUUACUUUUUAUAAGCUUUAAACCCAUUAGUAAUUAAGUUGUCAAUGUUUCUACAGCGGAUUUACACUAAAACACGAAAGAGCCUGAACCACGAUUGUGUCACAAGUUGCCUUACAUCACAAACAAAAAGAUGCAAGACUGCAAACUUUCCAGUACUCCUGUGAACUGAUAAUCCGGUUUCCACCCAGUCCCAGGAGAUUAUAUUAAACCUGGAAAAUAUUGGAGAAGAUCAAUUAAGUUUUCAGGAGCACAUUACUGUGAUAAAUGCUGAACUAUGUAAAAGACAACCUGACUACACCAACAUAUCAAAAAUCCAAUGAGAUGCGCUCUUUUUAAAAGAGUUGAUUUAAUGACAAAAUCAACAUGAGAGGUCAUGGACAUGUUCCCAUUUCUUCGGGUUCCACAA
Molecule: long non-coding RNA, 448 nt
Organism: Carassius carassius (crucian carp)
Lineage: Eukaryota; Metazoa; Chordata; Actinopteri; Cypriniformes; Cyprinidae
Exons: 3
Source: RefSeq, a predicted model, not a curated record